AUACGUAGGGGGCGAGCGUUGUCCGGAAUGAUUGGGCGUAAAGGGCGCGUAGGCGGCGCGGUAAGUCUGGAGUGAAAGUCCUGCUUUCAAGGUGGGAAUUGCUUUGGAUACUGCCGCGCUUGAGUGCAGGAGAGGUUAUCGGAAUUCCCGGUGUAGCGGUGAAAUGCGUAGAGAUCGGGAGGAACACCAGUGGCGAAGGCGGGUAACUGGACUGCAACUGACGCUGAGGCGCGAAAGUGUGGGGAGCAAACAGGAUUAGAUACCCUGGUAGUCCACACUGUAAACGAUGAAUGCUAGGUGUAAGAGGUAUCGACCCCUUUUGUGCCGGAGUCAACACAAUAAGCAUUCCGCCUGGGGAGUACGGUCGCAAGGUUGAAACUCAAAUGAAUUGACGGGG
This 397-nucleotide ribosomal RNA is filed under the name uncultured bacterium. RNAcentral's name for it is "partial 16S ribosomal RNA". It matches the Rfam family "Bacterial small subunit ribosomal RNA", at positions 523 to 918 of the family's 1533-position model. The record is from RNAcentral.